RNAcentral lists this transfer RNA (67 nucleotides) under Eutrichosiphum pasaniae. RNAcentral describes it as "tRNA-Pro". Lineage: Eukaryota; Metazoa; Arthropoda; Insecta; Hemiptera; Aphididae. The record is from RNAcentral.
CAGUAUAUAUUUUAAAAAAAAUAUUAAUUUUGGAGAUUAAUGAUAAUAUAAAUUAUAUUUAUACUGA